GAUGAACGCUGGCGGCGUGCCUAAUACAUGCAAGUCGAGCGAACGGACGAGAAGCUUGCUUCUCUGAUGUUAGCGGCGGACGGGUGAGUAACACGUGGAUAACCUACCUAUAAGACUGGGAUAACUUCGGGAAACCGGAGCUAAUACCGGAUAAUAUUUUGAACCGCAUGGUUCAAAAGUGAAAGACGGUCUUGCUGUCACUUAUAGAUGGAUCCGCGCUGCAUUAGCUAGUUGGUAAGGUAACGGCUUACCAAGGCAACGAUGCAUAGCCGACCUGAGAGGGUGAUCGGCCACACUGGAACUGAGACACGGUCCAGACUCCUACGGGAGGCAGCAGUAGGGAAUCUUCCGCAAUGGGCGAAAGCCUGACGGAGCAACGCCGCGUGAGUGAUGAAGGUCUUCGGAUCGUAAAACUCUGUUAUUAGGGAAGAACAUAAGUGUAAGUAACUGUGCACAUCUUGACGGUACCUAAUCAGAAAGCCACGGCUAACUACGU
Molecule: ribosomal RNA, 496 nt
Filed under: uncultured bacterium
Lineage: Bacteria
Description: partial 16S ribosomal RNA
Rfam family: Bacterial small subunit ribosomal RNA
Source: RNAcentral